AAGCAUUAUCAAGAGUAUAGGUUUCCAAAGUAAUUUUAGCCUGGGCUGAAAGCACCACUGGUAGGCUACACUGGCGCUGUUGCCGUGGAAAUGACAACAUCCGGUCUCUGAAUAUGAAAAAACAAGCCUUUUUUCGUUUCUAUUUUCGAGUGAUUUUAUUUUUUG
Long non-coding RNA from Sander lucioperca (pikeperch), 165 nucleotides. RefSeq lists it as uncharacterized. The record is from RefSeq and is a predicted model, not a curated record. The transcript has 4 exons. NCBI's taxonomy places the organism in Eukaryota, Metazoa, Chordata, Actinopteri, Perciformes, Percidae.